Molecule: ribosomal RNA, 235 nt
Filed under: uncultured bacterium
Lineage: Bacteria
Description: partial 16S ribosomal RNA
Rfam family: Bacterial small subunit ribosomal RNA
Source: RNAcentral
CGGGACGGGGUGGAGUAAUGUCUGGGAAACUGCCUGAUGGAGGGGGGUAACUACUGGAAACGGUAGCUAAUACCGCAUAACGUCGCAAGACCAAAGAGGGGGACCUUCGGGCCUCCUGCCAUCGGAUGUGCCCAGAUGGGAUUAGCUAGUAGGUGGGGUAACGGCUCACCUAGGCGACGAUCCCUAGCUGGUCUGAGAGGAUGACCAGCCACACUGGAACUGAGACACGGUCCAG